CAAGUGCCUUGUGAAAUCCCACGGCUCAACCGUGGAAUUGCUCGGCAGACUGCCCGUCUUGAGCCCGGCAGGGGCCGUCAGAACGGUAGGUGGAGCGGUGAAAUGCGUAGAUAUCUACCGGAAUGCCAAAGGGGAAGCCAGACGGCUGGGCCGGAGCUGACGCUCAGGCACGAAAGCGUGGGUAGCGAACGGGAUUAGAUACCCCGGUAGUCCACGCCCUAAACGAUGUGCACUAGAUCGAGGAGGUUUCAACGCCAUCUCGGUCGUAGCUAAAGCGUUAAGUGCACCGCCUGGGGAGUACGGUCGCAAGGCUAAAACUCAAAGGAAUUGACGGGGGCUCACACGAGCGGUGGAGCAUGUGGCUUAAUUCGAAGCAACGCGAAGAACCUUAUCCAGGGCUUGACAUGCACGGAUUAACGUUAUGAAAGUAACGCCACGCCCUUUGGGUGGAACGUGCACAGGUGCUGCAUGGCUGUCGUCAGCUCGUGCUGUGAAGUGUCGGGUUAAGUCCCUUAACGAGCGAAACCCCUGUCGUUAGUUGCCAUCAGGUCAAGCUGGGGACUCUAACGAGACCGCCGGUGUCAAACCGGAGGAAGGUGGGGACGACGUCAAGUCAUCAUGGCCUUUAUGCCCUGGGGCUGCACACGUGCUACAAUGGCGCUUACAGAGCGACGCGAUACCGCAAGGUGGAGCAAAUCGCAAAAAAAGCGCCCCAGUUCGGAUUGCGGUCUGCAACUCGACCGCAUGAAGGUGGAAUCGCUAGUA
This 765-nucleotide ribosomal RNA is filed under the name uncultured Planctomycetota bacterium. Its description in RNAcentral is "bacterial SSU rRNA". It matches the Rfam family "Bacterial small subunit ribosomal RNA", at positions 584 to 1340 of the family's 1533-position model. Lineage: Bacteria; Pseudomonadati; Planctomycetota. The record is from RNAcentral.